This is an unclassified non-coding RNA of Papio anubis (olive baboon), 148 nucleotides long. It matches the Rfam family "Metazoan signal recognition particle RNA". From Rfam's summary of the family: The signal recognition particle (SRP) is a universally conserved ribonucleoprotein. It is involved in the co-translational targeting of proteins to membranes. Lineage: Eukaryota; Metazoa; Chordata; Mammalia; Primates; Cercopithecidae. The record is from Ensembl.
GCCGGGCGUGGUGGCGCACGCCUGUAAUCCCAGCUACUCAGGAGGCUGAGGCAGGAGAAUUACUUGAACCCGGGAGGCGGAGGUUGUAGUGAGCCGAGAUCACACCACUGCACUCCAGCCUGGGUGACAGAGGGAGACUCUGUCUCAA